RNAcentral lists this ribosomal RNA (492 nucleotides) under uncultured bacterium. RNAcentral's name for it is "partial 16S ribosomal RNA". It matches the Rfam family "Bacterial small subunit ribosomal RNA", at positions 29 to 507 of the family's 1533-position model. The record is from RNAcentral.
AGUGAACGCUGGCGGUAGGCCUAACACAUGCAAGUCGAACGGCAGCACAGUAAGAGCUUGCUCUUACGGGUGGCGAGUGGUGGACGGGUGAGGAAUACAUCGGAAUCUACUUUUUCGUGGGGGAUAACGUAGGGAAACUUACGCUAAUACCGCAUACGACCUACGGGUGAAAGCAGGGGAUCUUCGGACCUUGCGCGAUUGAAUGAGCCGCUGUCGGAUUAGCUAGUUGGCGGGGUAAAGGCCCACCAAGGCGACGAUCCGUAGCUGGUCUGAGAGGCUGAUCAGCCACCCUGGAACUGAGACACGGUCCAGGCUCCUGCGGGAGGCAGCAGUCGGGAAUAUUGGGCAGUGGGCGCAAGCAUGAUCCAGCCAUACCGCGUGGGUGAAGAAGGCGUUCGGGUUGUGAAGCCCUUUUGUUGGGAGAGAAAAGCAGCAGGUUGAUACCCCGCUGUUCUGACGGUACCCAAAGAAUAAGCACCGGCUAACUUCGUG